Molecule: transfer RNA, 66 nt
Filed under: Protaeolidiella atra
Lineage: Eukaryota; Metazoa; Mollusca; Gastropoda; Nudibranchia; Aeolidiidae
Description: tRNA-Trp
Rfam family: tRNA
About the family: Transfer RNA (tRNA) molecules are approximately 80 nucleotides in length.
Source: RNAcentral
AAAGUUAUAGGUUAAGAUAAACCAUAGGCCUUCAAAGCCUGAAAUGAGAGUAGGAAUCUAACUUUG